RNAcentral lists this ribosomal RNA (394 nucleotides) under uncultured bacterium. RNAcentral describes it as "partial 16S ribosomal RNA". It matches the Rfam family "Bacterial small subunit ribosomal RNA", at positions 523 to 917 of the family's 1533-position model. The record is from RNAcentral.
AUACGUAGGGGGCGAGCGUUGUCCGGAAUUACUGGGCGUAAAGGGUGCGUAGGUGGCCAUGUAAGUCAGGUGUGAAAGACCGGGGCUCAACCCCGGGGCGGCACUUGAAACUGUGUGGCUUGAGUACAGGAGAGGGAAGUGGAAUUCCUAGUGUAGCGGUGAAAUGCGUAGAUAUUAGGAGGAACACCAGUGGCGAAGGCGACUUUCUGGACUGUAACUGACACUGAGGCACGAAAGCGUGGGGAGCAAACAGGAUUAGAUCCCCUGGUAGUCCACGCCGUAAACGAUGGAUACUAGGUGUGGGGGGCGAUAGUCCUCCGUGCCGAAGCUAACGCAUUAAGUAUCCCGCCUGGGGAGUACGAUCGCAAGGUUGAAACUCAAAUGAAUUGACGGG